Molecule: ribosomal RNA, 586 nt
Filed under: uncultured bacterium
Lineage: Bacteria
Description: bacterial SSU rRNA
Rfam family: Bacterial small subunit ribosomal RNA
Source: RNAcentral
CCUACGGGAGGCAGCAGUGGGGAAUUUUGGACAAUGGACGCAAGUCUGAUCCAGCCAUGCCGCGUGCGGGAAGAAGGCCUUCGGGUUGUAAACCGCUUUUGUCAGGGAAGAAACGGGUUUCUCUAAUACAGAGACCUAAUGACGGUACCUGAAGAAUAAGCACCGGCUAACUACGUGCCAGCAGCCGCGGUAAUACGUAGGGUGCAAGCGUUAAUCGGAAUUACUGGGCGUAAAGCGUGCGCAGGCGGUUAUGCAAGACAGAGGUGAAAUCCCCGGGCUCAACCUGGGAACUGCCUUUGUGACUGCAUAGCUAGAGUACGGUAGAGGGGGAUGGAAUUCCGCGUGUAGCAGUGAAAUGCGUAGAUAUGCGGAGGAACACCGAUGGCGAAGGCAAUCCCCUGGACCUGUACUGACGCUCAUGCACGAAAGCGUGGGGAGCAAACAGGAUUAGAUACCCUGGUAGUCCACGCCCUAAACGAUGUCAACUGGUUGUUGGGAGGGUUUCUUCUCAGUAACGAAGCUAACGCGUGAAGUUGACCGCCUGGGGAGUACGGCCGCAAGGUUGAAACUUCAAAUGAAUUGACGG